GACGAACCGUGCGAACGUUAUUCGGAAUCACUGGGCUUAAAGCGCGUGUAGGCGGGCCGCCACGUCGGGCGUUGAAAUCCCCCGGCUCAACCGGGGAACGGGCACCGAUACGAGCGGCCUGGAGGGGAGUAGGGGGACCUGGAACUUCCGGUGGAGCGGUGAAAUGCGUUGAGAUCGGAAGGAACGCCCGUGGCGAAAGCGAGGUCCUGGGCUCCUGCUGACGCUGAGACGCGAAAGCCAGGGGAGCGAACGGG
Molecule: ribosomal RNA, 254 nt
Filed under: uncultured bacterium
Lineage: Bacteria
Description: partial 16S ribosomal RNA
Rfam family: Bacterial small subunit ribosomal RNA
Source: RNAcentral